Molecule: ribosomal RNA, 326 nt
Filed under: uncultured bacterium
Lineage: Bacteria
Description: bacterial SSU rRNA
Rfam family: Bacterial small subunit ribosomal RNA
Source: RNAcentral
GACGAACGCUGGCGGCGCGCCUAACACAUGCAAGUCGAACGGAGUUGUUUUGGUGAAGCCCUUCGGGGUGGAACCGGCUCAACUUAGUGGCGGACGGGUGAGUAACACGUGAGCAACCUGCCUUACAGAGGGGGAUAACGUUUGGAAACGAACGCUAAUACCGCAUAACAUAACGGGAUCGCAUGAUUUUGUUAUCAAAGAUUUUAUCGCUGUAAGAUGGGCUCGCGUCUGAUUAGAUAGUUGGUGAGGUAAUGGCUCACCAAGUCGACGAUCAGUAGCCGGACUGAGAGGUUGAACGGCCACAUUGGGACUGAGACACGGCCCAG